CGCAAGACUCUGCAGCACUUUGUGCAGAACUGAUUUCCUGCCUCUGACCUGCCUGUCUUGUCUGAUUCCUGAUCCUCUGCCUGGCCAUGACCUACCUUCUGCCUGUCCCCUACUGUGCUGCAUUUGGGUCCAAACACGCUGCGUGACAAGAACCUUGACCUUGAACCCGCCAACAUGAUGGUCACAUUGAAACAAAUGUCGCGGUACUGUCAGUCUGCACAUGGCCUUG
Long non-coding RNA from Cottoperca gobio, 229 nucleotides. RefSeq lists it as uncharacterized. The transcript is spliced from 3 exons. The record is from RefSeq and is a predicted model, not a curated record. Lineage: Eukaryota; Metazoa; Chordata; Actinopteri; Perciformes; Bovichtidae.